GCUCCAGUGGCUUAAUGGUUAGAGCGUCCGCCUCCGAUGCGGAAUGUUGUGGGUUCGAUCCCCGGUCGAGUC
Non-coding RNA from Potamilus streckersoni, 72 nucleotides. The record is from the annotation of a GenBank genome assembly. NCBI's taxonomy places the organism in Eukaryota, Metazoa, Mollusca, Bivalvia, Unionida, Unionidae.